RNAcentral lists this long non-coding RNA (578 nucleotides) under Vigna radiata. Its description in RNAcentral is "long non-coding RNA (VRAD_LNC001386)". Lineage: Eukaryota; Viridiplantae; Streptophyta; Magnoliopsida; Fabales; Fabaceae. The record is from RNAcentral.
GGCGUCAUCAUUCAAAUAAAGAGAACAGUCAGAGUAUGACUUGCGAUUAAUUGGAGGAUUACAGUCAUCCAGAAUGGCCUAGUUUAAAACUUUAGUCAUAGUAGAGUAUUUCAAAAUAAUCUAAUUAGUAUCUCAAAAUAACAUAAGCUAAAUAAGUGAAAUCCUAAAGAGAGCUAAGUAGCAGCGUCAGCGUCCUCCAGCACUUGCUCCAAGGGGACCUCCUCAACAACAUCUGCUCCCAUCCAAGUGGAUGAUCAUCGCAAAAGAAAGCAUACCCAAGCAACAUACAACACAAAAGUAAGGGUGAGCUAGGUAAACAAACAACAUACAUAUAAUACAGUCAAUCAAUGUCAUCAUGCUUAAUUAAACAUAAAAAGAACAAGAGGCAUACCAACCAAACCAUGCAUCAAAUACUCCACGUGACUCAUCCGGAUUUGGUAUAACUGUCUAGCUAUUGGUUGUCUUUGCACUUGCAUAGUUCAGCUGGCUCAUCCCCAACACUAUGCAAGGUAAAUCCCCCAAUCUGUCUAUGUCUAAACUCCAAGACUAUAGACGAGGACCUCCCUCUACUCUCACCA